This 121-nucleotide ribosomal RNA is filed under the name Sarcocystis sinensis. Its description in RNAcentral is "partial 18S ribosomal RNA". Lineage: Eukaryota; Apicomplexa; Conoidasida; Eucoccidiorida; Sarcocystidae. The record is from RNAcentral.
UGUUUAUUAGAUACAGAACCAACACGCUCCAUUCUUGGGGUGUAAAAGGAGGUGAUUCAUAGUAACCGAACGGAUCGCAUUAUGAUCAUAUUAUUAUGGUUGGCGAUAGAUCAUUCAAGUU